CCUACGGGUGGCAGCAGUGAGGAAUAUUGGUCAAUGGCCGAGAGGCUGAACCAGCCAAGUCGCGUGAGGGAAGACGGCCCUACGGGUUGUAAACCUCUUUUGUCGGGGAGCAAAGCGAACCACGUGUGGUUCAUUGAGAGUACCCGAAGAAAAAGCACAGGCUAACUCCGUGCCAGCGGCCGCGGUAAUACGGAGGAUGCGAGGGUGAUCCGGAUUUAUUGGGGUUAAGUGGUGCGCAGGCGGAGGGGCAAGUCAGCGGUCAAAUUGCGGGGCUCAACCCCGUACUGCCGUUGAAACUGCAUCCCUUGAGUGCGCGAGAAGUAUGCGGAAGGCGUGGUGUAGCGGUGAAAUGCAUAGAUAGCACGAAGAACUCCGAUUGCGAAGGCAGCAUACCGGCGCGCAACUGACGCUCAUGCACGAAAGCGUGGGUAUCGAACAGGAUUAGAUACCCGGGUAGUC
RNAcentral lists this ribosomal RNA (459 nucleotides) under uncultured bacterium. RNAcentral describes it as "partial 16S ribosomal RNA". It matches the Rfam family "Bacterial small subunit ribosomal RNA", at positions 338 to 795 of the family's 1533-position model. The record is from RNAcentral.